AACGCGAAGAACCUUACCCGGCCUUGACAUCUACGGAAUCCUGCAGAGAUGUGGGAGUGCCUUCGGGAACCGUAAGACAGGUGCUGCAUGGCUGUCGUCAGCUCGUGUCGUGAGAUGUUGGGUUAAGUCCCGCAACGAGCGCAACCCUUGUCCUUAGUUGCCAUCAUUAAGUUGGGAACUCUAAGGAGACCGCCGGUGACAAACCGGAGGAAGGUGGGGAUGACGUCAAGUCAUCAUGGCCUUUAUGGCCGGGGCUACACACGUGCUACAAUGGCAGGUACAGAGGGAAGCCAACGCGCGAGCGGGAGCCAAUCCCAGAAAGCCUGUCGUAGUCCGGAUCGGAGUCUGCAACUCGACUCUGUGAAGUCGGAAUCGCUAGUAAUCGCAGAUCAGCAUUGCUGCGGUGAAUACGUUCCCGGGCCUUGUACACACCGCUCGCGA
Molecule: ribosomal RNA, 441 nt
Filed under: uncultured bacterium
Lineage: Bacteria
Description: bacterial SSU rRNA
Rfam family: Bacterial small subunit ribosomal RNA
Source: RNAcentral